Molecule: long non-coding RNA, 355 nt
Filed under: Ananas comosus (pineapple)
Lineage: Eukaryota; Viridiplantae; Streptophyta; Magnoliopsida; Poales; Bromeliaceae
Description: long non-coding RNA (ACOM_LNC006212)
Source: RNAcentral
UACAAUAAAAAUAUUUAAAAUUUUAAAGCAAAAAUAUUUUACAAUAUAAAAGACACGCAAUAAGAAAUUAGUAUUAGAAUUUUUAGAAUGGGUAAAUAAAAAAAAUAUAUUUUGUAUUUAAAAAAUAUAUGUGCGGGUAUCCAUAGGUACCCGCGGUUUACCCAAAAUACCCACAACUUAAUGGGUACCCAUCCGUUUUAUCCGUAAUUUUUGAAUUGUAAAAGUUGGCACUCAUACCCGCAAAUUUGCUGGUAAUACGCGGGCACCCGCAGGUUUGGAUCGGGAUUGACCGGUCUAAUUUACGACACACACAGGGAGAGUGAAAGAGACGAGACCUGAGCAAAAAGGCCCGCCG